Chaetura pelagica (chimney swift) is the source of this 59-nucleotide non-coding RNA. Lineage: Eukaryota; Metazoa; Chordata; Aves; Apodiformes; Apodidae. The record is from Rfam.
UAGCACAGUUGGUAGAGCAUGGGACUCUUAAUCCCAGGGUUUGUGGGUUUGAGCCCCAU